AUAACCUUAGUAUAUUCUGCAGAGUUAGAAUCACCAGAUAGUUUUAAAAGUUACUGCUGCAUAGGUUCCAUAACCAAAGAUUCUGACUCAAAUGAUAUGGAGUUGGGCCUGGACAUCAGUAUUUUGUGAUAGCUUCCCAAGUGAUUUUAAUGAGUACCAGGAUUGAGACCUACCCUAACAUAAAACAUAAAGAUAGUACAAAUGAGGGAAAAUAAUAGCUCAAUCACUUAAUCUCACUUAUGAAUAUAGUUGCAAAAAUAAAAUAUCCAUAUAUAGAAUUCACCUGUCAUCAAAAAUAAUGACUUCUACUAAAUAGACAAUUUCAGAAACACAUGAAUGACUCCCUCACAGAAAAUGUAUGCACAUAAUUUAUUACAUUACAGUUCUGGUAGAGAAAACCCAUAGGAACAUAUCAAUAGAUGCUGAAAUUUUAACAACCAAAUAAAACCUUUUAAUAGGAAUGGAAAAGAAUUACUGAGAUGUGCUAAGGUCUGCUUGGUGGAUAUUAAUAAUGUUUACUCGUAUCUGCUUUCUGUUUUCUUCCAGGCAUUCAGGCAGUUAUAUUUCCCAGUCCCCUUGCGGUUUUCUGGGUGGAGUCUGUGAGUCGUUUCGGUUAACGGGCUGGGGAUGGAAGACGUGCGUCACUACUGUGCCAAAGCACUGAAGAGUCGGGACAAGGCCACUGAGGCACAUGGAAGUGAGUGGGCUCCCCCAGCCCUGACCCAGUCAAGACCAGAACCAGGUCCCAGCCUGUCUCUGUGCUCCAAGACUACACCUGUUGGUCUGGAUUGCAGCUGGAAUUGGAAGGGAAAUGCAUUUCCAUUGAAGGAAGAAGUAUGAGAGUGAGCAGGCAGGUGUCAGCAGAGCUCAAGAGAAUAACGUCAAGUGGAUGAUGACUUACAGGCAGGAGGAGGCAGAUCAGCUAGGCAGAUGUGCAGAAGUUAAGUGUGGUUUCAUGCAGAAACUUCCAAGUGGACUCAAGAGCCAAAGACUUCAAGAAGUUGGUGUAAUUGUCACUUGGAAUAUGUUUGUAUUAAUUCAGAUCAUACCUACCAAUAAUAUGGAGGAUUCAGAGAGAGGAGUUCCGGAGACGUGGGUCUGAUUCCAGCUUUGCCUCCUGCUAAAU
Long non-coding RNA from Cercocebus atys (sooty mangabey), 1126 nucleotides. RefSeq lists it as uncharacterized. Lineage: Eukaryota; Metazoa; Chordata; Mammalia; Primates; Cercopithecidae. The transcript is spliced from 4 exons. The record is from RefSeq and is a predicted model, not a curated record.